RNAcentral lists this unclassified non-coding RNA (333 nucleotides) under soil metagenome. RNAcentral's name for it is "partial contains 5.8S ribosomal RNA, internal transcribed spacer 2, and large subunit ribosomal RNA". The stretch from base 1 to 120 matches the Rfam family "5.8S ribosomal RNA", at positions 35 to 154 of the family's 154-position model. The record is from RNAcentral.
GAUGAAGAACGUAGCGAAAUGCGAUAAGUAAUGUGAAUUGCAGAAUUCAGUGAAUCAUCGAAUCUUUGAACGCACAUUGCGCCCGCCAGUAUUCUGGCGAGCAUGCCUGUUCGAGCGUCAUUUCAACCAUCAAGCCCCAGGCUUGUGUUGGAGCCCUGCGGCUGCCGCAGCCUCCCAAAACCAGUGGCGGGCUCGCUAUCACACCGAGUGCAGUAGUUUACUCUUCGCUCAGGGCGUGUGGCGGGUGCUAGCCGUGAAACCCCCAACUUCUCAAGGUUGACCUCGGAUCAGGUAGGAAUACCCGCUGAACUUAAGCAUAUCAAUAAGCGGAGG